CCUCUUCUAUUUUUGAAUUUCUUCUUCUUCUUCUUCUUCUCAAUAAGUCGAAGCCUAUAGUGAUUGAGAAUACACCCACACAUGUCAAAGUAAUACCUAGCAUAGUGAAAAAAAUAUUGUGUAGUUCAUGCUGUCAACUGAAGGAGAAUCUAAAUUCAGAUCUUGAUCAUACUCUGCAACAGAAAGGAUCAAGGAUUAGAGAUCUGAACGAAAUGAGUCAUAAUAUUCCGCUGCCACCAAUUGCUGUGGUGGUUCUAUCCGUGGGUGUGGAAGAUGGAGGCUAUAAAAUACAUUUAUUCUUCAUUCUCUAUGGUUAUUUUGUAGUUAUUUUUUUUUUAUUUUGGUUCUCCUAAAAAUACAUUUGACGAGCUCACUAGAAAAAAAAAAUUGAGGUCUGUAGUUCUUUUAUAUUUUUCUAAGUGAUUAUAUUUGCUUAUUGUUUUACA
This is a long non-coding RNA of Cannabis sativa, 446 nucleotides long. RefSeq lists it as uncharacterized. The record is from RefSeq and is a predicted model, not a curated record. Lineage: Eukaryota; Viridiplantae; Streptophyta; Magnoliopsida; Rosales; Cannabaceae. The transcript has 2 exons.